CGUGCACUGAAUCCAUAGGUGUACGAAGCGAACCUGGGGAACUGAAACAUCUAAGUACCCAGAGGAAAAGAAAUCAAUCGAGAUUCCGUCAGUAGCGGCGAGCGAAAGCGGAACAGCCCAGUUACUAAAUCAUUAUUUGAUCUAGCAGAAUGUUCUGGAAAGUUCAGCCAUAGCGGGUGAUAGCCCCGUACGUGAAAGAGUAAAUAAUGUGGGUAACGAUGAGUAGGUCGGGACACGUGGUAUCUUGACUGAACAUGGGGGGACCAUCCUCCAAGGCUAAAUACUCCUUACUGACCGAUAGCGAACCAGUACCGUGAGGGAAAGGUGAAAAGAACCCCGGCGAGGGGAGUGAAAUAGAACCUGAAACCGUAUGCGUACAAGCAGUAGGAG
Molecule: ribosomal RNA, 390 nt
Filed under: Coxiella endosymbiont of Ornithodoros peruvianus
Lineage: Bacteria; Pseudomonadati; Pseudomonadota; Gammaproteobacteria; Legionellales; Coxiellaceae
Also listed under: 1 other name
Description: bacterial LSU rRNA
Rfam family: Bacterial large subunit ribosomal RNA
Source: RNAcentral